RNAcentral lists this ribosomal RNA (553 nucleotides) under uncultured bacterium. Its description in RNAcentral is "partial 16S ribosomal RNA". It matches the Rfam family "Bacterial small subunit ribosomal RNA", at positions 355 to 900 of the family's 1533-position model. The record is from RNAcentral.
UAGGGAAUCUUCCACAAUGGACGCAAGUCUGAUGGAGCAACGCCGCGUGAGUGAAGAAGGUUUUCGGACCGUAAAGCUCUGUUGUUGGUGAAGAAGGAUAGAGGUAGUAACUGGCCUUUAUUUGACGGUAAUCAACCAGAAAGUCACGGCUAACUACGUGCCAGCAGCCGCGGUAAUACGUAGGUGGCAAGCGUUGUCCGGAUUUAUUGGGCGUAAAGCGAGCGCAGGCGGAAGAAUAAGUCUGAUGUGAAAGCCCUCGGCUUAACCGAGGAAUUGCAUCGGAAACUGUUUUCUUGAGUGCAGAAGAGGAGAGUAGAACUCCAUGUGUAGCGGUGGAGUGCGUAGAUAUAUGGAAGAAUACCAGUGGCGAAGGCGGCUCUCUGGUCUGCAACUGACGCUGAGGCUCGAAAGCAUGGGUAGCGAACAGGAUUAGAUACCCUGGUAGUCCAUGCCGUAAACGAUGAGUGCUAAGUGUUGGGAGGCUUCCGCCUCUCAGUGCUGCAGCUAACGCAUUAAGCACUCCGCCUGGGGAGUACGACCGCAAGGUUGAAAC